GAGUAGCUGGGAGUACAGAUGCACACCACCACACCCAGCCUAGAAUGAAGAAACCUGCAGUUGGGAAGCAUGAAUUUACCACCUAUUAAGAUCUGGCUGCUGUGUGGAGAAAGAGUGAAGAUACGGAAGUUGGAGGUUCUCGUAGCAAUGCAGAAUUGUGGCUUGCAUUGUAAGAGGAGCCUGUGAAUUCAGAGGCAAGUCUGCUGAGGACCGAAUGUUCCUGUCCAUAAAAACAGAAGUCUGGCCUGGGCUCCUCUCUUGGGUGAAUUUGCAAUGCCAGAUCCUCUCUAUCAGUUUGGUUUUGUUUCUUGUAUCUCUGGGAAGGCAGGCAGACAGCACGGUCACCUGUGAAUGCAGCUACAAUUGGCUUAGCUGCCUCACUGAUAAAUGUGCCCCCAGUAAGCUACAAAGGGAUUACCAGCGUUCUCAGCAGCUAAAGGAACUGGUGAAGAUUUCCCCAGCAAAAAGUAGAAGCUCAGUGUUUCAUAGAUGAAGACUGGGGAGAUUGCAAAAGACCCAUCCAGCAGUGGUUCUCAGACCUCAGUGUGCAUCAGAAUCACCUGGAAGGCUUGUGAAAACACGUAUUGCUGGGCCACACCCCCAGAAUUUCUGGAUCAGUAAAGCUGGGAUUCUUACUUUGAGUAGCCAACUUGCAGAAUACAAUAGAAUUUUGGGAGGAGCCCCUCGAUGCCUGGCUUUACUGUUGGAGAGACAGUACAGUAUACACCAGAUGACUUAUUUGUGAACCAUGGAAACGUUUGGAAAAGCCUACUUCAUGCUUUGAACAGAAGAGUUUUAUCAGUUUUAAAUGUUUCUUCAUUUCUAUACCUUCUUUUAUCUGAGGAGCUUAAGCCAUUUUGUAGAGGCAUUAAGUAUUGCCUCAGUCUUAAUAUGUGAGACAAGGUGUGAGGAAUAUAGAGAUUCAUAAAAUAAUCCCCAUCUUCAAGGAACUCACAGUCAGGAAGAACAGAGCCUGCAACACAAAUAAUUGCAAUAUAGUAGAAGUGCCAAUAGGAGCUCUAUGAAGGGCGUGAAACAGGAAAGGCUACAUAGAGGAGAUGGCAGACACUCUGUGGAUUGUGACCUGUUGGUGGGCCAUGAAAUCAAUUUGGGGGUUUGAGAGCAUCAUUCUUUUAAUAAAACAGAAGAGAAUCAUCUGCAAUAAGGAACCCAUGGAUGAAUACCAUCUGGUCCUGGUGAUUUACUGCACAGAGUCCCUCAAGUUGCUCCAUACCUUUCUCCUGAGAGACUGAAGAAUCUCUGUCAAGGCCGUUCUCUGCUUUGCCAUAAAAUGUGUCCUUGGAACAAGAAUUUCCCCAUUGUCUUCUUCAAUAAAUACUGAUUCAAA
Molecule: long non-coding RNA, 1348 nt
Filed under: Homo sapiens (human)
Lineage: Eukaryota; Metazoa; Chordata; Mammalia; Primates; Hominidae
Description: long intergenic non-protein coding RNA 466
Source: RNAcentral